GUCUUCGAGUCGUUGAUUUCACACUGCCGAGAAAAGCCUCUAGAUAGAAAAUAGGUGCCCGUACCGCAAACCGACACAGGUAGUCAAGAUGAGAAUUCUAAGGUGAGCGAGCGAACUCUCGUUAAGGAACUCGGCAAAAUGACCCCGUAACUUCGGGAGAAGGGGUGCUCUUUAGGGUUAACGCCCAGAAGAGCCGCAGUGAAUAGGCCCAAGCGACUGUUUAUCAAAAACACAGGUCUCUGCUAAACCGUAAGGUGAUGUAUAGGGGCUGACGCCUGCCCGGUGCUGGAAGGUUAAGAGGAGGGGUUAGCUUCUGCGAAGCUACGAAUCGAAGCCCCAGUAAACGGCGGCCGUAACUAUAACGGUCCUAAGGUAGCGAAAUUCCUUGUCGGGUAAGUUCCGACCCGCACGAAAGGCGUAACGAUUUGGGCACUGUCUCAACGAGAGACUCGGUGAAAUCAUAGUACCUGUGAAGAUGCAGGUUACCC
This 488-nucleotide ribosomal RNA is filed under the name Staphylococcus aureus. Its description in RNAcentral is "partial 23S ribosomal RNA". It matches the Rfam family "Bacterial large subunit ribosomal RNA", at positions 1582 to 2071 of the family's 2925-position model. Lineage: Bacteria; Bacillati; Bacillota; Bacilli; Caryophanales; Staphylococcaceae. The record is from RNAcentral.